GACAGAGGGUGCAAACGUUGCUCGGAAUCACUGGGCGUAAAGGGCGUGUAGGCGGGACAGUAAGUCGGGCGUGAAAUCCCUGGGCUCAACCCAGGAACUGCACUCGAAACUACUAUUCUUGAGUGUCGGAGAGGAAAGCGGAAUUCCUGGUGUAGAGGUGAAAUUCGUAGAUAUCAGGAGGAACACCAGUGGCGAAGGCGGCUUUCUGGACAGUGACUGACGCUGAGACGCGAAAGCGUGGGGAGCAAACAGG
This 253-nucleotide ribosomal RNA is filed under the name uncultured bacterium. Its description in RNAcentral is "partial 16S ribosomal RNA". It matches the Rfam family "Bacterial small subunit ribosomal RNA", at positions 524 to 776 of the family's 1533-position model. The record is from RNAcentral.